RNAcentral lists this ribosomal RNA (460 nucleotides) under uncultured bacterium. RNAcentral's name for it is "partial 16S ribosomal RNA". It matches the Rfam family "Bacterial small subunit ribosomal RNA", at positions 338 to 795 of the family's 1533-position model. The record is from RNAcentral.
CCUACGGGAGGCAGCAGUGAGGAAUAUUGGUCAAUGGACGAGAGUCUGAACCAGCCAAGUAGCGUGAAGGAUGACUGUCCUAUGGGUUGUAAACUUCUUUUAUAUGGGAAUAAAAUGUUCCACGUGUGGGCUUUUGUAUGUACCCUAUGAAUUAGGAUCGGCUAACUCCGUGCCAGCCGCCGCGGUAAUUCGGAGGAUCCGAGCGUUUAUCGGAUUUAUUGGGGUUAAAGGGAGCGUAGGUGGGUUGUUAAGUCCGUUGUGAAAGUUUGCGGCUCAACCGUAAAAUUGCAGUUGAAACUGGCAGUCUUGAGUACAGUAGAGGUGGGCGGAAUUCGUGGUGUAGCGGUGAAAUGCUUAGAUAUCACGAAGAACUCCGAUUGCGAAGGCAGUUCACUGGACUGCAACUGACGCUGAGGCUCGAAAGUGUGGGGAUCAAACAGGAUUAGAUACCCGAGUAGUC